GAGGCGAACCGGGAGAACUGAAACAUCUAAGUACCCCGAGGAAAAGAAAUCAACCGAGAUUCCCUCAGUAGCGGCGAGCGAACGGGGAUUAGCCCUUAAGCAUCUUGGAAGUUAGUGGAACGGUCCUGGAAAGGCCGGCGAUACAGGGUGAUAGCCCCGUACACGAAAACAACCUUGAUGUGAAAUCGAGUAGGGCGGGACACGUGACAUCCUGUCUGAAUAUGGGGGGACCAUCCUCCAAGGCUAAAUACUCCUGACUGACCGAUAGUGAACCAGUACCGUGAGGGAAAGGCGAAAAGAACCCCUGUGAGGGGAGUGAAAUAGAACCUGAAACCGUGUACGUACAAGCAGUGGGAGCCCUUCGGGGUGACUGCGUACCUUUUGUAUAAUGGGUCAGCGACUUACAUUUUGUAGCGAGGUUAACCGUAUAGGGGAGCCGUAGGGAAACCGAGUCUUAACUGGGCGUCUAGUUGCAAGGUGUAGACCCGAAACCGGGUGAUCUAGCCAUGGGCAGGUUGAAGGUUGAGUAACAUCAACUGGAGGACCGAACCCACUAACGUUGCAAAGUUAGGGGAUGACCUGUGGCUGGGGGUGAAAGGCCAAUCAAACUCGGAGAUAGCUGGUUCUCCCCGAAAGCUAUUUAGGUAGCGCCUCGGACGAAUACUACUGGGGGUAGAGCACUGUUUGGGCUAGGGGGUCAUCCCGACUUACCAACCCCAUGCAAACUCCGAAUACCAGUAAGUAAUAUCCGGGAGACACACGGCGGGUGCUAACGUCCGUCGUGAAGAGGGAAACAACCCAGACCGCCGGCUAAGGUCCCAAAGUUCUGGUUAAGUGGGAAACGAUGUGGGAAGGCUCAGACAGCUAGGAUGUUGGCUUAGAAGCAGCCAUCAUUUAAAGAAAGCGUAAUAGCUCACUAGUCGAGUCGGCCUGCGCGGAAGAUGUAACGGGGCUCAAACCAGGCACCGAAGCCGCGGAUUCACACUUAUGUGUGAGUGGUAGGGGAGCGUUCUGUAAGUCUGCGAAGGUGUAUCGAGAGGUAUGCUGGAGAUAUCAGAAGUGCGAAUGCUGACGUAAGUAACGAUAAAGGGGGUGAAAAGCCUCCUCGCCGGAAGACCAAGGGUUCCUGUCCAACGUUAAUCGGGGCAGGGUGAGUCGACCCCUAAGGCGAGGCCGAAAGGCGUAGUCGAUGGGAAGCAGGUUAAUAUUCCUGCACGACUUGUAAUUGCGAUGGGGGGACGGAGAAGGCUAGGUGGGCCAGGCGACGGUUGUCCUGGUGAAAGUGCGUAGGUGGUGUUUCUAGGCAAAUCCGGAGACACAACACUGAGACACGAGACGAACACACUACGGUGUGGAAGCCAUUAAUGCCCUGCUUCCAGGAAAAGCCUCUAAGCUUCAGAUUACAAGUCAUCGUACCCCAAACCGACACAGGUGGUCGGGUAGAGAAUACCAAGGCGCUUGAGAGAACUCGGGUGAAGGAACUAGGCAAAAUAGAACCGUAACUUCGGGAGAAGGUUCGCUCUUGAUGGUGAAGUCCCUUGCGGAUGGAGCUGUCGGGAGUCGCAGUGACCAGAUGGCUGGGACUGUUUAUCAAAAACACAGCACUCUGCAAACACGAAAGUGGACGUAUAGGGUGUGACACCUGCCCGGUGCCGGAAGGUUAAUUGAUGGGGUUAGCGCAAGCGAAGCUCUUGAUCGAAGCCCCGGUAAACGGCGGCCGUAACUAUAACGGUCCUAAGGUAGCGAAAUUCCUUGUCGGGUAAGUUCCGACCUGCACGAAUGGUGUAACCAUGGCCAUGCUGUCUCCACCCGAGACUCAGUGAAAUCGAAUUCGCCGUGAAGAUGCGGUGUACCCGCGGCUAGACGGAAAGACCCCGUGAACCUUUACUACAGCUUGGCACUGAACAUUGAACCUACAUGUGUAGGAUAGGUGGGAGGCUUUGAAGGCGUGACGCCAGUUGCGCUGGAGCCGUCCUUGAAAUACCACCCUUGUAUGUUUGAUGUUCUAACGCAGGGCCCUGAAUCGGGCUCGCGGACAGUGCCUGGUGGGUAGUUUGACUGGGGCGGUCUCCUCCCAAAGAGUAACGGAGGAGCACGAAGGUUGGCUAAUCCUGGUCGGACAUCAGGAGGUUAGUGCAAUGGCAUAAGCCAGCUUAACUGCGAGACGGACAGGUCGAGCAGGUACGAAAGUAGGUCAUAGUGAUCCGGUGGUUCUGAAUGGAAGGGCCAUCGCUCAACGGAUAAAAGGUACUCCGGGGAUAACAGGCUGAUACCGCCCAAGAGUUCAUAUCGACGGCGGUGUUUGGCACCUCGAUGUCGGCUCAUCACAUCCUGGGGCUGAAGUCGGUCCCAAGGGUAUGGCUGUUCGCCAUUUAAAGUGGUACGCGAGCUGGGUUCAGAACGUCGUGAGACAGUUCGGUCCCUAUCUGCCGUGGGCGUUGGAUGAUUGAAGGGAGUUGCUCCUAGUACGAGAGGACCGGAGUGAACGAACCUCUGGUGUUCGGGUUGUCACGCCAGUGGCACUGCCCGGUAGCUAAGUUCGGAAUCGAUAACCGCUGAAAGCAUCUAAGCGGGAAGCGAGCCCUGAGAUGAGUCAUCCCUGACCCCUUGAGGGUCCUAAAGGGCCGUUGGAGACCACAACGUUGAUAGGUGGGGUGUGUAAGCGC
This 2666-nucleotide ribosomal RNA is filed under the name Aeromonas veronii. RNAcentral describes it as "bacterial LSU rRNA". It matches the Rfam family "Bacterial large subunit ribosomal RNA". Lineage: Bacteria; Pseudomonadati; Pseudomonadota; Gammaproteobacteria; Aeromonadales; Aeromonadaceae. The record is from RNAcentral.